AACAUAUACCAGUGGAGCUUGUUUGGACAACAACAUGCGAGCUUCCACAACAUAAGCAAAAGGGCGUAACAAUUUCCACCCUAAGGGUGGACCAUGUUGUACAAGCAUGCAAGCCUUCGUAAAAUUAAUGAUUAAUGAUUCUGUUCAACACUUCAAAAUAAGUUGUCAACCCUAUCAUUUCCCUCCUAUUUACCAUUUGAUUAUUUCUUCCUUGGUAACAAUCAGAGGCAAGAAAACAGAGUAUCGUAUCUCUAUCACUUGCUAGGCAAUGUUUUUGAUGGUGAACUCAUCAAUUCCUUGUAAUGCAUGUUUGUUUACACAACAUCCUCACAGUUAUCGUAAUGUUCUUUCUGUAGUGUGAUACAGAUACAUUUGACAUGCCUAAAUUGUUGUAGUUGUACCCUAAGGUAGAGGAGACAGACAUUGAUACUGCAGACUUUAAACAUGGAAAUAAGCAUAACAAUACCAGUACAGCAAGCACAGGAUUCACAACUUUAACAGCAGUUGCCACCAGAUGCCAGAGGUUAACCAUGAGGAGACAUCCCACUGUUGUGGGACUCUAGCUUCUGACAUUACCCGCUGUAAGUUCUUUAGUUAGGCCAUAACUUUGAUUGUGUCAUUUUCUUCUGGUAUGGAGGUGCAACAGGAAGUAAUAACAUGGCAUACGUCACCUUGUGCUACGGUCAUCAAGUCCAGGACCAUCCUGUUUUGUAAUACCAUUAAUCUAGUAGCCUGCAUCUUUCCUGCAGAGAGAGAUUCACAAAAGAUUUAAAACAAUAGUUCAGUGUUUCUAUAUAGAGUGCUUGUUAUCCAUCUCCGAUCGUAGGAAAUACAGCAUGGACAACUCCGACAGACCAUACUUUACAGCUGUCUGGGACAUUUGAAACCCAGAUGAGAUCAUGUGGUUUAAAGACUGUAAUAGCCCUGUGUUGACGUCCGGAUUUGUGUGUGGUUGUCAGCUGAUUAUGCUGUAUUUUGUAGGAGUGGUCUGUUACCCACACUGGUGCACACACUCCUGUCAAGUUGGCAGGCAGCAUCAGCUCAACCUUGUGACCACAAAGCCACUAGUCAUUCUGUAUGAAGAGGUUCCAUUUGAUGGUGUGCCCAUGUUGGUCGGAAAGCCCUCGCCAAUAGAAGAAGCUCUUCUAUCCUGGCAUUCAGCGGUGAUGUCCAAGGCUCACAACCAGUUUCCUCCUGGAGGCGAAGGUGGUGCAGGGACAACAACCUGCCGCUGAACGUCGACAAGACCAAGGAGAUUGUUGUGGACUUCCGGAAGGGUCACACCCAACACCUACCGCUGACCAUCGACGGUGCUGUGGUGGAGAGAGUGAGCAGCGCCAAGUUCCUGGGGGUGCACAUCAGUGAGGAUCUCUCCUGAUCCAACAACACCGCAUCACUGGCAAAGAAAGCCCAGCGCCGCCUGUACUUCCUGCGGAAACUCAGGCGAGCGAGCGCUCCUCCGGCCGUCAUGACUACAUUUUACCGCUGCACCAUUGAGAGCGUCCUCUCCAGCUGUAUUGCUGUUUGGGGUGGCGGCUGCACUGACUACAACUUGAAGGCCCUGCAGCGCAUAGUGAACACAGCUGGUAAGUUUAUUGGUGCUUCGCUCCCCUCCUUGAAGGACAUUUACACCUCCCAUCUCACCCGCAAGGCGACCACGAUUGUGAGUGAUGUGAGUCACCCCGCUCACUCUUUGUUCGAGCUUCUGCCCUCUGGGAAGAGGUACAGAAUCCUGCGCUCCCGCACCACCAGACUCUCAAACAGCCUCAUACUCCAGGCUGUUAGGAUCCUGAACUCGCUUCCCCGUUCUGCGUAGCGUCCUGUACUUUUACUGUCUGUAUGCACACUGGCUCUUAUUUGUUGUGUUGUCUGUUUAUUUAUUAUUUAUUAUUACUCUUAUUAUUUAUUGUUUGUGCCUUCUUGUUUUUUAUAUUGCAUCGUUUACUUGUAUGUCUAUCGUGUAAUAUGUCUUGUCACCGUGGGAUAGAGAAAACGUAAUUUCGAUCUCUUUGUGUGUCUCGGCAUGUGAAGACGUUGACAAUAAAGCAGACUUUGACUUUGAAAAGAAUUACAAAUAGCUUCUAAAAGAAAAAUAGAGAAUAAAUCUGACAAGUAAUACGAGCAAAAAGGUGUUCUUAGUGCGUUCUAUGUGUUCUUAUAUGUUGUGCGUCAUCCUUUUGUGCUGGUGUGUGUGUGCGCGCAGAGGAUCCUCAUGAAUCGGUGUGUGUAUGAGUGCGAGAGAGAUGUGUGUCCUAUGGAAGAAAUCAGUAAUGGAGAAUGUUCUGGAGGCUGUUGAGCAAUAAUAGGGAAAUUGAGAAGUGGAUGAUGGUGUGUUUAAGUUGGUUGGAGAAACUAAGAUGAGCAGUGUGUGGAAGUAUAGAAAAAAUAAGACGUGUGUGGCAGGAAGUGACUAGAAUGCUGGCUUGAUAGGACGAGAAUAAGAGACAGCAAAUGUUGUGUAGAAGACUGAAAGAUGUUGAAGGUGAACAUGAUGAAGGGGGCAACGGCAAAGUUGGCCGGCCCUUUGAGAAGGUGAAACUGAUAAGCGUGCCUGCGCUCACGCGUUGUCGCAGUGCGGGGCCAUUGCUAUGCUCGUGUGGGCGGUUGUUGCAGGAAAUGGCCAGCCUGUGACCAAUCAACAUUGAUGCUGCGCCCCCCCCCUCGCACGAGGGUUGCUGUGGCUGCGGGCAAAGCAGGGAAAGCGUGAGUUUCUCAGAAAAUGUUUGAAUGUUUGAAGCAGGGUGAUGCUUAAGGAGCGUGUGACAAUGUUUGCAUGAAGGAUAAAGGGCACUGAUGAGAAAACAAAAGUAUAACCAGGGGGUCGAAAUGGAGGAUGACGUUUGCGCAGCGUUGUUUGUUUGUGUUGUUUGUGAGCUGUGUCUCUGCUGUAGGUUUUUGUAUUGUCUGUGUGCUGUCAGUGUUGUGUGUUGGGAUUGGCUAAUGUAGGUGCACAGGAGAAUUUGCUAGACUGUAGUCUAUCUGAUUUGCACCGCAAAACAAAAGCAAUUUUGUGAAAAUAAGAAGAAAAGAAAGGCAAGCAAUUUGUUUUGUGGGCAGAAACUGGUCCACACUGCAUUAAUGCCUAGUCCUGAUGAAACAAAAUUUGAGGGAUGGAAAGAACUUGCUUUCUGGAAUUGGAUGGAGCAAAAUUAUUAAAUAACAACAUUUCAAAGCUAAAUUUAGAAGAAAUAGUCGAUUGGUUGUGUCAAGACUACACAAGUUUUUGCAUUUGGGAAUAGGAGAGUGAUUGAGUUUUGAGUAUCAACAAUUGACUAUUAUAUUAAUUUACUGGCGGUUAUUUUGUUGUUUUUUUUAUCUUUUAUCUUGAUUGGUUUGACACCUGGAGAGAGGAGAGAUUGGGAUGUGGAACACGGGUUGGGACGGCCAGUUACACACGCAAGGCUUGUGUGCACUGGGACACUGAGAAGCAUUUUGAAAGGUGUGUCAAAUUAAAUGAAGAUGAAAUCAUGUGUAGUAAUGCAGCACUUUACUACAUGUGGAUUCUCUAAAUCAUACAAUUGAGUAAAAUAAAACAUACAUUUUUAUUUUUAUUCAAAUUGCUAAGAUUCUUGUGAUAAACUAUGAGGAAAUGAUUGAAAAGUAGCUGGAGAAACUACAAGAAACUACGGCUAGGCUAGUUGUGAAAGCAGUCCAAUUGCCACGAAUAAUAGUUAUAUGCAUGUGUGCAGGGCACACACACGGGGAGCUGAUUAGGUUCAGGAGGUGGCAAGCUUGCAGACAGAACCGCAUAGCUGUAGUGCAAAAGACGCUUCACAUUUUAUACACAAGAAGCAGAUUAAAUUACUGAAACUUUUUUUAGAGAUGUGCAGCGACACAGUCCGUAGACUGAAAUUCAAUUAUGGACGGAAAGGGUGACAGGAGUGAAGAAUGGUAUCUAUAAAUGACCAGAAGACUGACCUGUCUUACAAAAAACCUAUACAAAUGGGCGGCAGUAUUGAGCCAUGGUUGUGUGUCACAUGGCUCAAGAGGAGGGAUAGUGGGGCAGGUCAGUCAGUUUUAUACAACAUACGGAUAUUAUUCAUAUUCAAAACAUUUUCAAAACAAAAAAGAAAAAGAAAAAAAAUUGUAGAGGUUGUUUAACAUGGCUAAACACAAUCCACAGGGUUAUAAUGCCUGGUCAUAAUAGAUGAAUUCUCAAAAUGGUUUGAAUUGGCUUCAACAAAAACACUGAAUGCCUUAACAGUGGCAAAAAUGUUAUGUAAAGAAAUAAUACAGAGAUAUGGGAUUUCGGAAAUUAAUUCUCGUGACAGAACUGGUAUAAAGAGUGAAAAUGUGCAUGGAAAAAAUGGAAGAUCAUGGACAAAAUGUUUAGACCUGGUCAAACUGUACAUAAAUAUUACAGGUACUGUGGGUUUAACCCCGUAUGAAAGAUUGUUUGGGCGACAAUAUAGAUUACCAUGUUUUAAAACCAAGUGGGAAACUAAGGAUGAUUCAAUUUGGCAUUUACAUUUUAUAUUCAUAAUUAAUAUUUAAAAGGCAAAAAGAACAAAGCACGUUCUCAUUAAGAGCAUUGAAAACAAAACACUGGUGUUCUUCCAAGGGGAAGGGCCACAUUGAAUAUUGAUAAUUACGUCAACUGCCAUUAAAAUAGCAGAAAGGUCAGUUGAGGUGGUCCUAGCAAAUUAAAAAGGGGUACCGUUUUUUUCCGUGUAUAGUGCGCAAAAUUUAACAAAUUUAUUGUCCUAAAAUCUGGGGUGCGCAUUAUACAUGGGUACAAAAAUUUUUAAAUUUUUUUUUUUUUUUUUAGAAAACAAAACCAACAACAGGACUGACCGACAAAGUCGUGGAACAAAAAGACAGGGUGACAUUACCAAAGACAGGAACAGAAAGCAAACAGACAUCAUGACAGUAACACAUGCAAUGAUCCGACGGUGAGCAAGGGGCAGACAGGACUUAAAUACAAAACACGUUACAUCGAUUGAGGUGACACAGGAAGAGAGGGGCGACGCGACGCGAACAGAAACUAUGGCAACACAUAGCAAAACUGGGGACGAGACAUGACAAAUCUCCCCCGAAAUAAAACUUGUAAUCACCUUU
This is a long non-coding RNA of Syngnathus typhle (broad-nosed pipefish), 5058 nucleotides long. RefSeq lists it as uncharacterized. The record is from RefSeq and is a predicted model, not a curated record. NCBI's taxonomy places the organism in Eukaryota, Metazoa, Chordata, Actinopteri, Syngnathiformes, Syngnathidae. The transcript has 2 exons.